This 74-nucleotide transfer RNA is filed under the name marine sediment metagenome. RNAcentral describes it as "tRNA-Gln". It matches the Rfam family "tRNA". Rfam says of the family: Transfer RNA (tRNA) molecules are approximately 80 nucleotides in length. The record is from RNAcentral.
UGGGGUGUGGUGUAAUGGCAACACGACUGGUUCUGGUCCAGUUUACAGGGGUUCGACUCCUCUCACCCCAGCCA